CUGCUGAGCUGAGACAGACACUAUUGGACCAGACACUACCAUGUCUCCCUGCUGAGCUGAGACAGACACUAUUGGACCAGACACUACCAUGUCUCCCUGCUGAGCUGAGACAGACACUAUUGGACCAGACACUACCAUGUCCCCCUGCUGAGCUGAGACAGACACUAUUGGACCAGACACUACCAUGUCUCCCUGCUGAGCUGAGACAGACACUAUUGGACCAGACACUACCAUGUCUCCCUGCUGAGCUGAGACAGACACUAUUGGACCAGACACUACCACCAGUUCAACAACAGGUCUGGAGAGGAGAACAUGAGAGACAGAGAGCUCUGAGAGGUCACCCAUAACAGUUCACCAACAGGUCUGGAGAGGAGAACAUGAGAGACAGAGAGCUCUGAGGGGUCACCCAUAACAGUUCACCAACAGGUCUGGAGAGGGUGGGUAGUUUUACAUUCAAGAAGCUGACGUUUUGGGAAACAUGAGGCGUCUGAAAUGUGGAAGUCGUAAAGUUGUGUUUGUAGGAUGUUGCUGGGUUCCUUAUUCUGGACAGGAAUGAUGUUCAGUUACCAGACACAGCUGGUUGUUGUCAACGACCUCUGAC
Long non-coding RNA from Oncorhynchus tshawytscha (Chinook salmon), 601 nucleotides. Lineage: Eukaryota; Metazoa; Chordata; Actinopteri; Salmoniformes; Salmonidae. The record is from Ensembl.